Molecule: ribosomal RNA, 416 nt
Filed under: uncultured bacterium
Lineage: Bacteria
Description: bacterial SSU rRNA
Rfam family: Bacterial small subunit ribosomal RNA
Source: RNAcentral
AAUCAACGCUGGCGGCGUGCCUCAGACAUGCAAGUCGAACGAUUAAAGCUCUCUUCGGAGAGUGUAUAGAGUGGCGCACGGGUGAGUAACACGUAAGUAAUCUACCUUCGAGUGGGGAAUAACACCGAGAAAUCGGUGCUAAUACCGCAUAAUGCAGCGGCAUCGCAAGAUGACAGUUGUUAAAGAUUUAUCGCUUGAAGAGGAGCUUGCGGCAGAUUAGCUAGUUGGUAAGGUAAUGGCUUACCAAGGCUACGAUCUGUAACCGGUCUAAGAGGACGGUCGGUCACACUGACACUGAAUAAACGGGUCAGACUCCUACGGAGGCAGCAGUCGGGAAUUUUGGCAAUGGGCGAAAGCCUGACCCAGCAACGCCGCGUGAAGGAUGAAGUAUUUCGGUAUGUAAACUUCGAAAGAAU